GGGGGGCUUUCAUGCAAGUCGCACGGGGUACCCCAAAGGAGUUUUCGGACAACUGCGGGGAAUACCUAGUGGCGGACGGGUGAGUAACGCGUGAGUAACCUGCCUUGGAGUGGGGAAUAACAGCUGGAAACAGCUGCUAAUACCGCAUAAUGCAGUUGAGUCGCAUGGCUCUGACUGCCAAAGAUCUAUCGCUCUGAGAUGGACUCGCGUCUGAUUAGCUAGUUGGUGGGGCAACGGCCCACCAAGGCGACGAUCAGUAGCCGGACUGAGAGGUUGGCCGGCCACAUUGGGACUGAGACACGGCCCAGACUCCUACGGGAGGCAGCAGUGGGGAAUAUUGGGCAAUGGGCGCAAGCCUGACCCAGCAACGCCGCGUGAAGGAAGAAGGCUUUCGGGUUGUAAACUUCUUUUAAGAGGGAAGAGCAGAAGACGGUACCUCUUGAAUAAGCCACGGCUAACUACGUGCCAGCAGCCGCGGUAAUACGUAGGUGGCAAGCGUUGUCCGGAUUUACUGGGCGUAAAGGGCGUGCAGCCGGGCUGACAAGUCAGAUGUGAAAUCCCGCGGCUCAACCGCGGAACUGCAUUUGAAACUGUUAGUCUUGAGUACCGGAGAGGUCAUCGGAAUUCCUUGUGUAGCGGUGAAAUGCGUAGAUAUAAGGAAGAACACCAGUGGCGAAGGCGGAUGACUGGACGGCAACUGACGGUGAGGCGCGAAAGCGUGGGGAGCAAACAGGAUUAGAUACCCUGGUAGUCCACGCUGUAAACGAUGGAUACUANGUGUGCGGGGACUGACCCCCUGCGUGCCGCAGUUAACACAAUAAGUAUCCCACCUGGGGAGUACGAUCGCAAGGUUGAAACUCAAAGGAAUUGACGGGGGCCCGCACAAGCAGUGGAGUAUGU
RNAcentral lists this ribosomal RNA (900 nucleotides) under uncultured bacterium. RNAcentral's name for it is "bacterial SSU rRNA". It matches the Rfam family "Bacterial small subunit ribosomal RNA", at positions 41 to 942 of the family's 1533-position model. The record is from RNAcentral.